Molecule: ribosomal RNA, 1411 nt
Filed under: uncultured bacterium
Lineage: Bacteria
Description: 16S ribosomal RNA
Rfam family: Bacterial small subunit ribosomal RNA
Source: RNAcentral
AGAGUUUGAUCCUGGCUCAGGAUGAACGCUAGCGACAGGCUUAACACAUGCAAGUCGAGGGGCAGCGGGGAGCGAAGCUUGCUUUGCUCCGCCGGCGACCGGCGCACGGGUGAGUAACACGUAUGCGACCUGCCCUUUACAGAGGGAUAAUCGGGAGAAAUUCCGUCUAAUACCUCAUAACACAUACCGACCGCAUGAUCGGUAUGUCAAAGGAGCGAUCCGGUAAAGGAUGGGCAUGCGGCGCAUUAGGUAGUUGGUGGUGUAACGGACCACCAAGCCGACGAUGCGUAGGGGUUCUGAGAGGAAGGUCCCCCACACUGGUACUGAGACACGGACCAGACUCCUACGGGAGGCAGCAGUGAGGAAUAUUGGUCAAUGGGCGAGAGCCUGAACCAGCCAAGUCGCGUGAGGGAAGACGGCCCUAAGGGUUGUAAACCUCUUUUGUCGGGGAGCAAGAAAGCGUACGUGUACGCUACUGAGAGUACCCGAAGAAAAAGCAUCGGCUAACUCCGUGCCAGCAGCCGCGGUAAUACGGAGGAUGCGAGCGUUAUCCGGAUUUAUUGGGUUUAAAGGGUGCGCAGGCGGAACGGAAAGUCAGCGGUAAAAUUGCGGGGCUCAACCCCGUCGAGCCGUUGAAACUGUCGUUCUAGAGUGGGCGAGAAGUAUGCGGAAUGCGUGGUGUAGCGGUGAAAUGCAUAGGUAUCACGCAGAACUCCGAUUGCGAAGGCAGCAUACCGGCGCCCGACUGACGCUCAUGCACGAAAGCGUGGGUAUCGAACAGGAUUAGAUACCCUGGUAGUCCACGCAGUAAACGAUGAAUACUAAUUGUUCGGGUCGAAUGAGGCCUGAGUGAUACAGCGAAAGCGUUAAGUAUUCCACCUGGGGGAGUACGCCCGGCCACGGGGGAAACUCAAAGGGAAUUGACGGGGGCCCGCACAGGCGGAGGAACAUGUGGUUUUUAUUCGAUGAUACGCGAGGAUCCUUUCCUGGGCUCUCGCGGACACGGGAAUAGUUUUGAAAGGAGGUAGCCAGCAAUGGCCAGUGUCGAGGUGCUGCAUGGUUGUCGUCAGCUCGUUCCGUGAGGUGUCGGCUUAAGUGCCAUAACGAGCGCAACCCCUAUCUUCAGUUGCUAACAGGUCAAGCUGAGGACUCUGGAGAGACUGCCGGUGUAAGCCGAGAGGAAAGUGGGGAUGACGUCAAAUCAGCACGGCCCUUACGUCCGGGGCUACACACGUGUUACAAUGGCAGGUACAGAGGGCAGCUACCCAGCGAUGGGAUGCGAAUCUCGAAAGCCUGUCUCAGUUCGGAUUGGAGGCUGAAACCCGCCUCCAUGAAGUUGGAUUCGCUAGUAAUCGCGCAUCAGCCAUGGCGCGGUGAAUACGUUCCCGGGCCUUGUACUCACCGCCCGUCA